UUCCCAUUAGCUCAAUGGUAGAGCAGAAUACUUCUAAUAUUACGGUUUUUAGUUCGAGUCUAAAAUGGGAAU
Transfer RNA from Podospora anserina, 72 nucleotides. It matches the Rfam family "tRNA". From Rfam's summary of the family: Transfer RNA (tRNA) molecules are approximately 80 nucleotides in length. Lineage: Eukaryota; Fungi; Ascomycota; Sordariomycetes; Sordariales; Podosporaceae. The record is from Rfam.